GGGGGUGACUGGUUUCGACAGGGUGGGCCUGAGAUGGGCAGCAGGUCGUGGUCUCCUCGCCACGUUAAACAGGGGUACCGUCAAAUUGAAUUGACGAGAACAACUCUUUCGAGCCUCAGCUGGCUCUCGCUGCUUAGUCUUAACUAACCAGCGCGUCAAACCGGGGAUCGCUCCCGUUCCCGGGGCGGCGUCAUUCUAGGGAGAUGCGCGCGCGGACGUGGCCGGUAUGCCGCGCGCAAAGACCGAACCGGCUGGGACGCCAAGCGCGGGUGACCAGGUGCGCGGCGUCCGAGACCCAAUUGGCCACUGAGCCUGGAGACACCUGUCAGGGGUUCGCUUUGGACCGGAGUUCGAUUCUCCGCACCUCCACCA
This 372-nucleotide transfer-messenger RNA is filed under the name Atopobiaceae bacterium. It matches the Rfam family "transfer-messenger RNA". From Rfam's summary of the family: Bacterial tmRNA, also known as 10Sa RNA or SsrA, is named for its dual tRNA and mRNA-like properties. Its role is to liberate the mRNA from a stalled ribosome. Lineage: Bacteria; Bacillati; Actinomycetota; Coriobacteriia; Coriobacteriales; Atopobiaceae. The record is from RNAcentral.